AACGAACGCUGGCGGCAGGCCUAACACAUGCAAGUCGAGCGCCCUUUCGGGGGAGCGGCGGACGGGUGAGUAACGCGUGGGAAUAUGCCCUUCUCUACGGAAUAGCCUCGGGAAACUGAGAGUAAUACCGUAUACGCCCUAUGGGGGAAAGAUUUAUCGGGGAAGGAUUAGCCCGCGUUGGAUUAGGUAGUUGGUGGGGUAAUGGCCUACCAAGCCGACGAUCCAUAGCUGGUUUGAGAGGAUGAUCAGCCACACUGGGACUGAGACACGGCCCAGACUCCUACGGGAGGCAGCAGUGGGGAAUCUUAGACAAUGGGGGCAACCCUGAUCUAGCCAUGCCGCGUGAGUGAUGAAGGCCUUAGGGUUGUAAAGCUCUUUCAGUUGGGAAGAUAAUGACGGUACCAGCAGAAGAAGCCCCGGCUAACUCCGUG
Molecule: ribosomal RNA, 431 nt
Filed under: uncultured bacterium
Lineage: Bacteria
Description: partial 16S ribosomal RNA
Rfam family: Bacterial small subunit ribosomal RNA
Source: RNAcentral